UAAAAAAAAUCAAAAAUAGUGAAAAAAAGAAUAAAAAAAAAGAGUUACGAAAAAAAUAAAAAAAUUUGUGUACAAAAGUUUUUUUUGCCCGAAAACUCAUAUUAUUCCUUACUACUACCAAACGGCCACACCCAUCCUUUGUUUUUUUGUUUCUAGCCAACCCUUGUCCUGAUAUUUCCAACCCAAACUGACAUCACUUUUGUAAGCCAACUCCACGCCGACGACAACCGUUAAGUCUAAGUAGUACAUUGUGAAUCGAGGGAGCGAAUAGAGUGGAAAAAGGCAUGAAUGUGUGGUGACAUUAUUCGAGUGUAUAAAAGCCAAAUUGUGAGAUUUUUUUCUUUUUGAGAGAAGUGUGAGGUUUGU
Molecule: long non-coding RNA, 366 nt
Filed under: Gossypium barbadense (sea-island cotton)
Lineage: Eukaryota; Viridiplantae; Streptophyta; Magnoliopsida; Malvales; Malvaceae
Description: long non-coding RNA (GBAR_LNC003120)
Source: RNAcentral